This 506-nucleotide long non-coding RNA is filed under the name Chinchilla lanigera (long-tailed chinchilla). RNAcentral's name for it is "lncRNA (ENSCLAG00000028151.1)". Lineage: Eukaryota; Metazoa; Chordata; Mammalia; Rodentia; Chinchillidae. The record is from RNAcentral.
AGAAAAGACAGUGACUUUUGAAAAAUAUUCCAUGGGCUUGGAUCAUCUAAGUGUACUGUAGCUUUAUUCUUACAGGCAAGAGAAAUGAGGAACAUUUUGGAUAAUGGUACCAGGCUGCUGAAUUUGUUAUUUGUUUUAAAUGGGACUGGCCUUACUAGUUAGACACAGAAGGACCUGAUUUGAAGUCAGCAAAUAUGUUUCAGGGUGACAAGUACAAAUAGUUUCGAGGCACUCCGCAUGAUAAGAAAUAGCACAUCUUUUUCCUUCCCGAGUCAGUUUGAAAUGGGUUUUGAAACAAGACUUCAGUGCUGAAAUGUGGAGGUGCUCUUAACAUCUAUUAAGAUAAAUACUGUAAAUUCCUGUCAAGAAACCACCACAGUGUACAGAAAAAAUGACCAUUAAAAAGAGAGACCAUUCUGGAGUAUUUCUCGGCCCUAAGGAAACAUCAAGUGUGACCCCUCUGAUGGCUCUCUGUAGAUGUCCACGAACUGGGAGGCAACACCAGA